This 64-nucleotide transfer RNA is filed under the name Clovia sp. EMHAU-2015-Zz052918. Its description in RNAcentral is "tRNA-Thr". The record is from RNAcentral. Lineage: Eukaryota; Metazoa; Arthropoda; Insecta; Hemiptera; Aphrophoridae.
GUUUUAAUAUUUUAAUAAAUAAAAUAUCGGUCUUGUAAAUCGAAGAUAGUUUUACUUUAAAACU